Long non-coding RNA from Phyllostomus discolor (pale spear-nosed bat), 169 nucleotides. RefSeq lists it as uncharacterized. The transcript is spliced from 3 exons. NCBI's taxonomy places the organism in Eukaryota, Metazoa, Chordata, Mammalia, Chiroptera, Phyllostomidae. The record is from RefSeq and is a predicted model, not a curated record.
AAAGAGAGAGACAGAGGGGCACAGGUAUAAAAAUGGCAAUGAAUAAAUACCUAUCAAUAAUAACCUUAAGUGUAAAUGGAUUAAAUGCUCCAGUCAAAAGACACAGAAUAACUGAAUAGACAAGAAAGCAUGACACACACAUAGGCUGCCUAUAAGAGGCCCACCUCAG